AACGAACGCUGGCGGCAGGCCUAACACAUGCAAGUCGAGCGAGACCUUCGGGUCUAGCGGCGGACGGGUGAGUAACGCGUGGGAACGUGCCCUUCUCUACGGAAUAGUCCCGGGAAACUGGGUUUAAUACCGUAUACGCCCUUCGGGGGAAAGAUUUAUCGGAGAAGGAUCGGCCCGCGUUAGAUUAGGUAGUUGGUGGGGUAAUGGCCUACCAAGCCUACGAUCUAUAGCUGGUUUGAGAGGAUGAUCAGCCACACUGGGACUGAGACACGGCCCAGACUCCUACGGGAGGCAGCAGUGAGGAAUCUUGGACAAUGGGGGAAACCCUGAUCCAGCCAUGCCGCGUGAACGAUGAAGGCCUUAGGGUUGUAAAGUUCUUUCGCCUGGGAAGAUAAUGACGGUACCAGGUAAAGAAGCCCCGGCUAACUCCGUGCCAGCAGCCGCGGUAAU
Molecule: ribosomal RNA, 450 nt
Filed under: uncultured bacterium
Lineage: Bacteria
Description: bacterial SSU rRNA
Rfam family: Bacterial small subunit ribosomal RNA
Source: RNAcentral